Molecule: ribosomal RNA, 484 nt
Filed under: uncultured bacterium
Lineage: Bacteria
Description: partial 16S ribosomal RNA
Rfam family: Bacterial small subunit ribosomal RNA
Source: RNAcentral
AUUGAACGCUGGCGGAAUGCUUUACACAUGCAAGUCGAACGGCAGCACGGGGGCAGCCCUGGUGGCGAGUGGCGAACGGGUGAGGAAUACAUCGGAACGUGCCCGGUCGUGGGGGAUAACGUAGCGAAAGUUACGCUCAUACCGCAUACGAUCUGAGGAUGAAAGCGGGGGACCUUCGGGCCUCGCGCGAUCGGAGCGGCCGAUGUCAGAUUAGGUAGUUGGUGGGGUAAAGGCCUACCAAGCCGACGAUCUGUAGCUGGUCUGAGAGGACGACCAGCCAAACUGGGACUGAGGCACGGCCCAGACUCCUACGGGAGGCAGCAGUGGGGAAUUUUGGACAAUGGGCGCAAGCCUGAUCCAGCCAUUCCGCGUGCAGGACGAAGGCCUUCGGGUUGUAAACUGCUUUUGUACGGAACGAAAAGGCUCUGGCUAAUACCUGGGGCGCAUGACGGUACCGUAAGAAUAAGCACCGGCUAACUACGUG